Alligator sinensis (Chinese alligator) is the source of this 473-nucleotide non-coding RNA. Lineage: Eukaryota; Metazoa; Chordata; Crocodylia; Alligatoridae. The record is from the annotation of a RefSeq genome assembly.
CCCUGCCCGGGGCUCCUGGGUAAAUGUCCCAGAGCCUCAGUCCCUGCCCAGUCCUGUUUGGCCCCUUUCUGUCUGACUCACCCCAUAGCGGGAUGGCUGCUCUCCUGCUCUUCCUCCCGCUGCUCCUUGCUCCCACAGGUGCCUUCGCAGAGGUGACACUACUCCAGUCUGGCACAGAUGUGGUGCGGCCUGGGGAGACCCUCACCCUGCAAUGCACUGUCUCUGGUGUGUCCCUGACUGACAACAGCUAUGUUUGGUUCUGGGCCCGGCUGGGACCUGGGAAGGGGCUAAAUGAGAUUGAAUGGAUUGGAGCAUAUUCACCGGCGGUGGGAAAAGCACUCCCCGACCCAUUGUUCGAGAACCGAACUAAGAUCUCUGCAGACGCCUCCCAGAACCAGCUCUCCCUGCAGAUGCACUCCCUGACAGCUGCAGACACCGCCACGUAUUACUGUGCCAGAGCCAGCACACAGUGA